Molecule: unclassified non-coding RNA, 220 nt
Filed under: plant metagenome
Description: partial contains small subunit ribosomal RNA, internal transcribed spacer 1, and 5.8S ribosomal RNA
Source: RNAcentral
UUUCCGUAGGUGAACCUGCGGAAGGAUCAUUACAGAGUUCAUGCCCUCACGGGUAGAUCUCCCACCCUUGAAUAUUUAUACCUUAGAUGCUUUGGCAGGCCGUGGAAACACCAUGGGCUCUGGCUUAUGCGUGCCUGCCAGAGGAAACAAACUCUGUUUUUAGUGAUGUCUGAGUACUAUAUAAUAGUUAAAACUCUCAACAACGGAUCUCUUGGUUCUG